AUACGGAGGGUGCAAGCGUUGUCCGGAUUUAUUGGGUUUAAAGGGUGCGUAGGUGGCGUGUAAAGUCAGUGGUGAAAGCCUGCAGCUCAACUGUAGAGGUGCCAUUGAUACUGACAUGCUUGAGUAUGGAUGAGGUAGGCGGAAUUUGUGGUGUAGCGGUGAAAUGCAUAGAUACCACAAAGAACACCGAUAGCGAAGGCAGCUUACUGGACCAUGACUGACACUGAGGCACGAAAGUGUGGGUAGCGAACAGGAUUAGAAACCCCAGUAGUCC
This 274-nucleotide ribosomal RNA is filed under the name uncultured bacterium. RNAcentral's name for it is "partial 16S ribosomal RNA". It matches the Rfam family "Bacterial small subunit ribosomal RNA", at positions 523 to 796 of the family's 1533-position model. The record is from RNAcentral.